RNAcentral lists this ribosomal RNA (332 nucleotides) under uncultured eukaryote. Its description in RNAcentral is "partial 18S ribosomal RNA". It matches the Rfam family "Eukaryotic small subunit ribosomal RNA", at positions 1470 to 1796 of the family's 1831-position model. The record is from RNAcentral.
CCCUUAGAUGUCCUGGGCUGCACGCGCGCUACACUGGAAGUUACGGAUUGAGAUACUACCUUGUCCGAAAUGGUCCGGGUAAUCACCUAAAAGCUUGUCAUAAUUGGAAUGGAUUAUUGUAACUAGUAAUCCUGAACGAGGAAUUCCUAGUAAGUCCCAGUCAACAGCUGGUACUGAUUACGUCCCUGCCCUUUGUACACACCGCCCGUCGCUACUACUGAUUGGACGUUUAAGCAAGAUUUUUAAAUACUGACAGUGUGUAGUUCACGCUAUACUACAGUGAGAAGAAGAAGAUCGAGCUUACUUGUCUAGAGGAAGUAAAAGUCGUAACA